AAACUUUAUUAGCGAGGAACAAUUGGAGGGCAAGUCUGGUGCCAGCAGCCGCGGUAAUUCCAGCUCCAAUAGUGUAUAUUAAUGUUCCUGCAGUUAUUCGAUGCUCGUAGUUGGAUUUCUGGGGGCUGAUUCUGGACGGCGGCUAUGGCCGCCACCGGUUUCUCCCUUCAUCCACCUGUUAACGUUGUUCGAGAUUCAUUUCUCGGCUUCGGGCUCAGGUAUUUUACCCUUACUAUAUUCAUUUAUUUAUCUUCUUUUUGAGCAAAUUAUAGUGUUUCAGGCAGGCGUGCGCCGGAAUACUUUAGCAUGGAAUAAUCGAAUUGGACUGUGUUCCUUAUCUGUUGGUUUGAUGGGCACAGAAUGGUUAAUAGGGAUAGUAAUUUUCAGGGGAGGCAUUAGUAUUUAAUUUCCAGAGGUGAAAUUCUUUGAAAUAUUAAAGACUAACUUAUGCGAAAGCAUUUAUUUUGCCAAUAAUGUUUUCAUUAAUCAUUGAACGAAAGUUAGGGGAUCAAAGACGAUCAGAUACCGUCCUAGUCUUAACCAUAAACGUUGCCGACUAGGGAUCGGAGGGCGUGCACAUUCCGCCUUCGGCACCUUACGAGAAAUCAAAGUCUUUUGGGUUCUGGGGGUAGUAUGGUCGCAAGGCUGAAACUUAAAGGAAUUGACGGAAGGGCACCACCAGGAGUGGAGCUUGCGGCUCAAUUUGACUCAACACGGGAAAUCUUACCAGGUCCAGACAUAGCGAGGAUUGACAGAUUGAUAGCUCUUUCUUAUUCUAUGGGUAUUUUUGGUGGUGCAUGGCCGUUCUUAGUUGGUGGAGUGAUUUGUCUGGUUAAUUCCGUUAAACGAACGAGACCUCAGCCUGCUAAAUAGUUACUUGUCUUUCUUUUACGAGACAUGUUAACUUCUUAGAGGGACGUUGUGUGCAACCACAAGGAAGUUGAGGCAAUAACAGGUCUGUGAUGCCCUUAGAUGUCCUGGGCCGCACGCGUGCUACACUGAUACGUACAACGAGGUAUAUGUAUUUAUACAUCGAUGCUGCUCCGAAAUAGACAAAGCUAAAUCUUCUAAAAUACGUAUCGUGCUGCGGAUAGAUCGUUGAAAUUAUGAAUCUUGAAGGUGGAAUUCCUAGUAAGCGCGGGUCAUCAACCCGCGUUGAUUACGUCCCUGCCCUUUGUACACACCGCCCGUCGCUCCUACCAAUUUCGAGUGGCUCGGUGAACCUCUUUGGACUGUCGAGCAAUCGCGAAAUUAGAGUGAACCUGGUCAC
RNAcentral lists this ribosomal RNA (1270 nucleotides) under metagenome. RNAcentral's name for it is "SSU rRNA". It matches the Rfam family "Eukaryotic small subunit ribosomal RNA", at positions 526 to 1772 of the family's 1831-position model. The record is from RNAcentral.